UUUAGCUUAGUCUAGUAGGUAGAGUGUUUGCCUGAUGUGCAAGAAGUCCUGGGUUUGAUCCCCAGCACUGAAA
This 73-nucleotide transfer RNA is filed under the name Cricetulus griseus (Chinese hamster). It matches the Rfam family "tRNA". From Rfam's summary of the family: Transfer RNA (tRNA) molecules are approximately 80 nucleotides in length. Their secondary structure includes four short double-helical elements and three loops (D, anti-codon, and T loops). Lineage: Eukaryota; Metazoa; Chordata; Mammalia; Rodentia; Cricetidae. The record is from Rfam by way of RNAcentral.